GACGAACGCUGGCGGCGUGCUUAACACAUGCAAGUCGAACGGAAAGGCCCUGCUUUUGUGGGGUGCUCGAGUGGCGAACGGGUGAGUAACACGUGAGUAACCUGCCCUUGACUUUGGGAUAACUUCAGGAAACUGGGGCUAAUACCGGAUGAGCUCCUGCUGCAUGGUGGGGGUUGGAAAGUUUCGGCGGUUGGGGAUGGACUCGCGGCUUAUCAGCUUGUUGGUGGGGUAGUGGCUUACCAAGGCUUUGACGGGUAGCCGGCCUGAGAGGGUGACCGGCCACAUUGGGACUGAGAUACGGCCCAGACUCCUACGGGAGGCAGCAGUGGGGAAUAUUGCACAAUGGGCGGAAGCCUGAUGCAGCAACGCCGCGUGCGGGAUGACGGCCUUCGGGUUGUAAACCGCUUUCGCCUGUGACGAAGCGUGAGUGACGGUAAUGGGUAAAGAAGCACCGGCUAACUACGUG
Molecule: ribosomal RNA, 466 nt
Filed under: uncultured bacterium
Lineage: Bacteria
Description: partial 16S ribosomal RNA
Rfam family: Bacterial small subunit ribosomal RNA
Source: RNAcentral